UACAGAGGUGGCAAGCGUUGUUCGGAAUUACUGGGCGUAAAGGGCGCGUAGGCGGUCUUGUAAGUCUCGUGUGAAAUCCCUCGGCUUAACUGAGGAACUGCACGGGAUACUGCUUGACUUGAGUUCGGGAGAGGGAUGCGGAAUUCCAGGUGUAGCGGUGAAAUGCGUAGAUAUCUGGAGGAACACCGGUGGCGAAGGCGGCAUCCUGGACCGACACUGACGCUGAGGAGCGAAAGCCAGGGGAGCAAACGGG
RNAcentral lists this ribosomal RNA (253 nucleotides) under uncultured bacterium. Its description in RNAcentral is "partial 16S ribosomal RNA". It matches the Rfam family "Bacterial small subunit ribosomal RNA", at positions 524 to 776 of the family's 1533-position model. The record is from RNAcentral.